Molecule: long non-coding RNA, 6578 nt
Filed under: Paramuricea clavata
Lineage: Eukaryota; Metazoa; Cnidaria; Anthozoa; Malacalcyonacea; Plexauridae
Source: RNAcentral
CCAUGAUAAAAACGAAAGCUCAGCCGCUCUGAAAUCAAAAUAUUUUUUCUUCUUCUCGACUUUAUAUACUUCCAAACGCUUGAAAAGAAGAUGCUUUCCAAAUUUUAAACAUCAUUUAUCCUUGUUCUCGCUAUGGCACUGCACAAAUCCGAAGUUGAGAAGUAUAUUAGCAAAAUUGAAGGACGUUUGAACAGCCCACAUGAGGUACAACGCAAUGAUAUAAAUUUGUAUAUGUAUGGUGGCGCGAAAUAAUAGUUUGAGUGAAUUAUUAAUUCUUAAAUUAUAUUAUUAAUGUUUGAUCUUUCAGCGAAAUUUAAAAGGUUUAGCUUUUGCUGAGCUGUAUAGAAAAGCUAGAGAAUUUGAAUUGGCAAAAAGGUGAGCAAGUUAUAAUGAAAGUUAUAAAGUUAUAUAAAAUAAUCAACUUUCCCUGUGGGAGGAAACCAGACUACCUGGAGAAAACCCAUGACCACAGUAUAGGAAAAGUACAGUAGGGCCACUCAGCGUAAAAAAGUGUCUACAUUGUUUACUGGCUGCCAACCUAAUUUACAUAUUGGCAGCCAGUAAACGGCAGCAGUCCACUAUAAAAUUGUACUACAGAAUAAUGAUUUUAGCCGCGUAAGACACCUGGAACCUAGCUUAAAUAAUUGCCACUUUUCUCUCCCCCAAGUGGCCCUACUGGUUGUCUCCCUAUACUGUGCCAUGACUUUCGGCAGAGCGUUGACUUGUACUCUUUCCAUAUGAAGACUGGGUUCGAGUCCUGUUGAGAAAGUUCUCACUGGGGCUUGAACCUGGCAAGUGCGCUAACCACUUUGCCACCGAAGCCCCAAUUUUAACCCUUUAAGUGGCAAUGCAUGGCCUGAUGCACCCUACUUUAGUAUUUUACUCUGUCUAACACCAGAUGAUUUUACUCGUCAAGUGGAGAGUGCUGCCACUCAAUGGGUUAACCAGCCAAUCAACUUUUCAUAGCAAUUGUUACUAAGGACCCGAUUGGCUGUUUAAAAUUAAAAAUGUAGGUGUUUGGUUGUCAACAUUUGUGGGCAUGAAUUUUUAAUGUGAAUGAAAUUUUCAUGUGUUCCACACACUUUGGUGAUCCGUAAUAAUAUGCCAAAACUAGUGUUAUGUCAACACAUGGCUUGAAAUAACAGCUGAUCAUCAAUCAAUGACCGGCAAGAACUUGUUUAUAAUUGGCGGCUGGGAAAACAGGGUAUUGAACCAGAAAAAGCAGGGAAAGUCAUAACUGUCGAUCACCAAGAUUGGGAACUUUAGGAACCUAUUUCAAGCCCUGCAAUUCCACACCCAAGAUUUUCAAACUUUAUCAACAGAAUGCACCAUGAUAGUAUGUAUAUUAUACAAAAGAAAAAUCUGACAGUUUUAUUCCUAUGUUAAUAUGCACACAAGAACAAGGGGGAAUUUCGUUCUCGACCAAUCAGCGCUUUUGUUUACAUUUUUGCCCUAAGCCAAUCAGAAUGCGUAAAACGCUUCAUCACAUGAAAUUUGUAAACAAACAUAUGGGGUUACUUCAGAGCUUUUCUGCAAGCGGUUUUUUUGUUUUUUGCCAUGAAGCUCAUAUACUUUGUUCUUAAAAGAAUUCUCCUCAACUUCCUCGUGGCGAUUUUUGAUUAAUUGCGUGAUUGCGAAGAUAUGGGUCUUCAAACUUUGCCUUGCGCAAGCUUAAAUACCACCCCUCGAAUUUGUAGGUUCCGAACGGAUUAGCGUUUAUAAAGCCUUUCAAAUCGAGGUUUGAGAGGUUUUAUUUUUUAAAAGAUACUUUUAUCUUCAUAUUUUCACAUUAACUUAUUAAUAUCCUGUGUAACAAGUAAACAGGGCAUUUCCGAGCCGGGACAAGUUGACAUGUCGAUUUCUUGCCAAACAGCGUGGCGAUCAAUAUGGCAAAUAUCUAAAUACAGGGAAUUUUUAAAAUUUUGUUGGUAUAAAUGGGAUAAAGAAGCUCAUCAAAUAUUUGGACUAUGGACCUUCAAACUUAUGCCAAGUAUUUAUUUGAUUGAUUAGCUCAAUAACUGACAGUUAUUGGCUCGUUUUUCGUCGAUUUCGACAUUUAGUCGAGCUUAGUCGACUUCAAAAUAAUGUGUCAACAUUGCGUGUUGCAGCCUGUGGAUAUGAAUAUUUUCGUUUGUUUGACAAUAACACUUGUCUUCAUUGGUUUUAAUCCUUGAUUGACAAUAUAUUCAUUGGUCUCAGAGUCCUAAACUUAAGGAAGAUGGAUGACAUUGGGACAGAAUGAUUUUGUUCAAUGUUGCUGUUCAGGUAUCAAAAUUUAUGGAUAUAUACCUGUAUAUGAACUUCAUUGUUUUUUUACUUCAUCUGGCUCACUUGUCACAAUUGGGCUCUGUUCAUAUUACCUGGCUAGGUGGGAGACGACAUUUGCCAGUAUGUUCUAUCCUAUCCUGCUACUAUCGGCCUAGCUAAGCGUGAGGUUUCCAUUGCCAGAAUCCUGGCUAUAUGUAAGCCAAGAAAUUCACCAUAUAUACAAUAAGGAUCAAUAAGCACUGUAUACCAAACAGGCAACAUGAAUUAGGCUUCAAGCAUGUGUUCUGGAUAGUCUAGAUCAUAUAAACAGGUCCCCAAUAGAUCCCGAUCUACUAUAAUUGAAACAUUUUAGUCCAUAAAUUUGUGCAUUACCAGAAUACCUGUGCACAAAUGAAUAUUUUACACAUAUUAUAUAAUGCAAUCCAAUAUUAAGCCCCCAGUAACCUCACAAUUAGGCCUCCCUUCCAAAAAUUAGAUCUCCCUUCCAAAAAUAAGCUCUCCCUGUUAAGGGCUGUCAAAAUGGGCCAUGCUAGCCCAGCAAACAUGGCUGGAUUUUCUUUUCAGGACUAGUUUGUCAUUUGCCUCACAGGAGCCAGGCUAACCUGGCAACUGUUGUCAAGAAAUUUGUGUGAAAUGCUGGUUAAUUUGUUAAUGACAACAGCUUCAGAAGGCUUAUAUUAAUCAAUUUCUUAUUUACUUGGGCCAAAUUGUGUAUUAUAACAUGAUUUUUAGUCGAGUGAGCUGGUUGGCCAGCUUAUGACCUUUAUUAGUGUGAGACUCCCAAUGCAGGAUAUCAACUUGCUCAAGCAAAUGUUGGGCCAAUAAAUUCAACCAGGUUGUUUCAUGUGAAUGCAAUCUCAAACAUAUAUAAAAUUAAUAUACGAGGCAGUAUCUUACCAUGGGCAGGUGUAUAUUUAGCCCAUAUAAAUGGGCAAGACCAGCUUGCAUGCCCAGUGUGAUAUUAUACUACUGACAAUACCUGGUUGAUUCUACAAGGUUAUGGCCUAAAAUGUUCCAAUUGUAGUUUCAGGAUCUGCUAAGGGUCUGUCGAUAUGAUCUGGGCUAGGCCCUGGUUGGGGGGAUAGAAUGUUUACUGUAAAUGGUGAAUUUCUUGGCUUGCAUAGUUGGGAUUCUGGCAACGGAUACCUUGUGCUUAGCCAGGAUAGUAGCAGGAUAGUAUAUCGGCAAUACUGGCAAAUGUUGUCUCCUGCCUAGCCAGGUCAUACGAACAGGCCCCAUUUGUGACUAGUGGGCCAGAUUAAGGAAGAAACAAUGAGGGUCCUAUGACUAUGCUCUGUGACUAUAUAUGUCCAUAAAUUUUGAUAUCUGAACAAAAUUUUGAUAUCUGUCCCAAAGUCAUCCAUCUUCCUUAAGUUUAGGACUCUGCGACCAACUGAAUAUAUUGUCAUUCAAGGAUUAAAAACAGUGAAGAAAAGUGUUAUGGUCAAACAAACGAAAAUAUUCAUAUCCACAGGCUGCAACACGCAAUGUUGACACAUUAUUUUGAAGUCGACUAAAUUGUCGAAAUCGACGAAAAACGAGCCAAAAAACAGUUAUUGAGCUAAUCAAUCAAAUAAAUACUUGGCAUAAGUUUGAAGGUCCAUAGUCCAAAUAUUUGAUGAGUUUCUUUAUCCCAUUUAUACCAACAAAAUUUUAAAAAUUCCCUGUAUUUAGAUAUUCGCCAUAUUGAUCGCCACGCUGUUUGGCAAGAAAUCGACAUGUCAACUUGUCCCGGCCCGGAAAUGCCCUGUUUAGUUGUUACACAGGAUAUUAAUAAGUUAAUGUGAAAAUAUGAAGAUAAAAGUAUCUUUUAAAAAAUAAAACGUCUCAAACCUCGAUUUGAAAGGCUUUUAAAAACGCUAAUCCGUUCGGAACCUACAAAUUUGAGGGGUGGUAUUUAAGCCUGCGCAACGCAAUGUUUGAAGACCCAUAUCUUCGCAAUCAAGCAAUUAAUCAAAAAUCGCCACGAGGAAGUUGAGGAGAAUUCUUUUAAGAACAACAUAUAUGAAUUUCAUGGCAAAAAAACAAAAAAACGCUUGCAGAAAAGCUCAGAAGUAACCCCAUAUGUUUGUUUACAAAUUUCAUGUGAUGAAGCGUUUUACGCAUUCUGAUUGGCUUAGGGCAAAAAUGUAAACAAAAGCGCUGAUUGGUCGAGAACGAAAUUCCCCCUUGUUGCACACAAGUAGUUUUGUCAUUGAUCAUGACUGUUGCAAUUACUAAUAAUGUAUUUAUAAUUACAUGUAAAUAAUAAUUAUAAAUACAAUAUAUUUGUAACAAAUUUGCAAAUUCAUUUUAAUAAUUUAAUCAAGAGAAAAAUGUGCCAUUAGAACAGCUAAAUUGUUGCAGAUUUAAAACUUUUGGCAGCAAGCAGUAACAUUAGAUACAACCUAUUGUAACAAUUAGUGACCUCAAUCACAAACAUGUUGCUAACCCUAAAUGUAUGUUUAUCCACAAAACAUAUGAAUGGUACAUUAAAAAAAAAAUACAGACUCCACACAUGAAAUUUCUACUGUUCAGAGGGGGACGGCAUAAAAUCCACUUAUGAGUAUAGGAAUAUGCAAUACUGUAGGACAUCCAAAAAGGAGAGAGGAAUGGUUCCCAGUAGAAGGUGGCACCUGGCAGACGAUUACAUUUCUCAAAUGACAACCCAAAUUGUUAUACAGUUAGUGUCAAAGUUCAAUUUUUCUGUUUGCCGAUUGGUCAAACCGUGUCACGUGCCGGUCCACAAAACAUCAUGUUCGGCAACCGGUCCGCAAUGAAACAUUUAUUGACCGGUCAAUAAUAAAAUGGGUGCAAUACGCAUGCGUGCAUAUCAACCAUGAAGUUCCAAAGUUCAUUUUUUAAACUUUUUACAAAACAUUUACGGCGUUCUAUUUAUCCAGUUUUGGUUUCAAAUUAAGUUCACGCCAAUAAUCGGUGAAUUAUUCAUACUUUGACACUUAUAUACUAUAUAACAAAACACUUAUUUACUGAGACCUUGGGAAAGCAGUGUGUUUUGUGGCCCCUCGACCGCCGUUGUUGCCCUCGGCUUUGCCUCGGGCAACAACAGCGUUCUCGGGUCCACAAAACACACUGUUUCCCUUAGUCUCAGUAAAUAAGUGAUAAGUAUUUCCUUCUCACCAUAUAACUGUGAAAGGAAAGUUUCUUGCUUUCAUAACAUAAAUUUUACACAAUAUUUGUCCUCAACUAUUUGGAUAAUAUGACAAAAUCUCCAAAACUAUUCUCUAAAAUGACUUAGUUGAAAUGCAAUUUGGGAAUUGUCCACCCAAGAUUAAAUAAUAAACUAUGGAAACCAUCAAAAUUGUGCAUCUGAUACAAAGUACGAAUCAACAGCUCUCAGGGUUUGUGAAGUAAAUGUCAUACAAAAUGUGCUCUUCCCUUGAUGAGUAAAAUACAGUAGAAUAAUAAAGUAAGGUAAGGUGCAUUGGGGCACAAAGCAAUUACUUAAUGGGUUAAAUCUAUGUUUAAUUAAUGACAGUCAGGGGUCGAAAUUUAAUUUUUUUUGUACUAUACAGCCAGAAUAGUAGAUUAUGAAAUUUACUAUUCCGUCUGAAAAUCCACUAUUCCUUAAUGUACUGUACUGUUUGUCUGUUUCUGAGAGCCUGUUCAUGCAGGGUCCGCGUUAAUGUUCUGAUUUUCGUAAAAUCAUCCUUGAGACUCCCAAAAUGAACUUCAAUAAUUGAAUAACAAAAAAUAUACAUGUACAGUUAUCUGAUGGUACAAAUAAAAAACGAUCUAUUCGACUUAUUUGCCACAGUCGGAUGAGCAAGACAAAAUUCACAAAACAUUUUGUCAAGUUCACUUUUUGUUAUUGUCCAAUUUUUGGAGCUUGGCUGACGGUUCUCUGCGCCCGAUACAUACCGCCGCAUUUUGUAUAACGUUUUAGUCAAUCAUAUAAAAACUAGACGCUAAAGUUGUUUUUGACGACAGGGCAGGCCCGCGCCAGUUUGUCAUGUUAUUGUAGCAAAGUUAAUUAUAAUAAGUUAAUAUUGCUGCAAAGAAAUUAGAAUACGCAAGUACUGCAAGCGAACAAGAACUUUGCUACGAAGUGGAACAGUGGCUCAAAGUCCGGUAUAAAGUGAUAUAUUAUACAAGAGGAAAACUCUUGCUUGUCGAUAUUUGGUACCACAAUUUUUUAUACUAUACAAACAGAAUACCAUGAUCAUGAAGUUUAGUAUAUUCGGAAUAGUGGGAAUUUCGACCCCUACGACAGUACAGUAUAUGAAACAGUAUAUAUCAAUUUAAUUUUCCACUUUGUUCAUGUAUAGGUAUACACUUGCCUACAUCAGUACAAACAGCAAUGACUACAG